This 600-nucleotide ribosomal RNA is filed under the name Triticum aestivum (bread wheat). RNAcentral describes it as "partial small subunit ribosomal RNA". Lineage: Eukaryota; Viridiplantae; Streptophyta; Magnoliopsida; Poales; Poaceae. The record is from RNAcentral.
AUGCUCCGGGACGUCGUAACCCGUGGCAAGCGGCCUCGCUAUCGCUACAGCCGCUUCCUGAACAUCGCCACCCACGAGCAGAUCCGGAUGACAAUCCGGGGGCUGGACGGCCGCGGCGGCCGACUACAAAUCGCGUGCACGUGCGUGGGCCUGCUUGUCCUGGUAAACAAGAGGACCAACGGCGUGUUCGUGCUCAACCCGAUCACCGGCGCCCGCGCCGAUCUCCCGCCGCUGGGCUCGCUGCUGUCCAGCAACACGCGGGACUUUGUUCUCCCCAGAGCGCCCGGAGCGGGCCCCCUGAGUGCGGAGCUGACCAGUGAUUCGGCGGUCGUGAUCAACUUCGGCGGCGGCGGGUACCAGCGGAUGGGCAUCGCGAGACCUGGCGAUGAGCACUGGACCAAGGUGGAGUGCGAACACCGGAUCGGCGGCUCGGUCCUGUCGUUCGCAGGCGACGUCUACUGUUUCACGGCGGGUCCAAGUCGAACUCCCUUGGUGCUGGAGACCUCGCCAGACAAUCCGCCGAGGCUAGUCAAGUCCGACAAACAUCCUGACGACUUUAUAAAUGGUUUUAAUGAUGCUAUCAGUUUAAUGCUAGCCUAG